Non-coding RNA from Clostridiales bacterium 59_14, 81 nucleotides. The record is from Rfam. Lineage: Bacteria; Bacillati; Bacillota; Clostridia; Eubacteriales.
ACAAUGGGAUCGGGAGAGAUCGCUUAGGCGGCGCCGAAGGGGAACGCAGAAGCUCUCAGGCAAAAGGACCGAUUCCGGACG